UCCCAGUCUAGCGUUGGAACCACUUCUAGG
RNAcentral lists this non-coding RNA (30 nucleotides) under Homo sapiens (human). Lineage: Eukaryota; Metazoa; Chordata; Mammalia; Primates; Hominidae. The record is from RNAcentral.